ACGGACAUCUUGUUGGUAGAUUUUGAGACAGUAUUACAAUUGUUGAAGGUGCUGUUAACUACAAAAGAACAACAUUCUCAAUGACCCAGAGCUUUCUGGUACUAGACCAAUAUUCAAAGAAUGAACAUAGACAGAAAUAUGGCUCCAAAUGCAUAUGUGGCAGAGGAUUGCUUUUUUGGCACCAAUGGAAGGAGAAGCCCUUGGUUCUACCUUGGUUUGUCUCCCAGUUUAAGGGAAUGUCAAAGGGCAGAAUUAUAGUUAGAGAAGAAGGGAUUGUGAACAGGUUGUGAUUUAAUGGGCAGGAAACUGAGAAAGGAAAUAAUAUUUUAAACGUAAAUAUAGCCUCAUCCAGUUUAAAAAUCACUUAAAUUGAUAAAAAAUUAAAAAAAGAAAGAAAUAAAAGUAAAGAAAACUUCCAACUAAUCACAGUUAUUUACUCAGAAAUCUAAAUUGGUAUUCAGAGUAAUACUUGUAGCAAGACAAAGAUGAUGAAGUCUCAACUAGAAGCACUUCUUUCUCCGAGAUAUCCGUGUCAGACACAAAAUGCACUAUAGGUAUCCAAAGCUUGGAGGAGUUUACUCUGACCUGAGGACCCAAUACUUGUCUUUACCUCCUUCCUUAGGACCUUUUUCUUCUGGGCAAAAAGAAAAAAAGGCCAUAGAUCUCAGAAAAACAACUGUGCCCUCUCAAAAUUUUGCUUUGUAAUUAGGAAAUGAAUGAUAUAAAACCUUUGACAUCCAGGUACCAUAAGAACAGGGAAGUCCAGAUGCUUCUGUGAAGCUUCCAGCUCUUGAUUCCCAUAUGUGUAAGUCUCAGAUCAAGUCUAUCUCUUCAGCGAUACCACUCCAACCCUUCCAAGGGCUCCCUGAACUUUUCAAAGUACCACUUAUUUUUCCUUUUUUUUUUUCAUACAAAGACAGAAGGUCAGCUUCUUUCUCCCCAUCUCUGAUCUCUUUAUCCUUUUUGUUCUCACUCCCAAAUGGCUGUUUACUCUGAAUUAGUGGCCAAUUAGCAAACCGGAGAGUUACUGAGGGAAUAUGUGAGAGGCAGUUCCUGUCAGGACAGUAAUUGUUACAUCACAGAAGAAGCUAGGGCUCUCCUAGUUACAACAAAUUUGUCAUGGAGGUCCUAUUUAUGAUGUCACUGAGAACGGCCAUCUCCUACAUGCUAAACAGCUUUCCUUACAUUUACCAGAUUCGAAGGUGUCCUUUCCAGUUCAAGGUAAACUGGAGGUUCACUUGGGAUGCAAUGAAGAGCCCCUGACAAGCAUAUUCUUCAAAGCCUCCCAUGGUGUAACUGAAGAUACGAUAUGUGAAGUAGCCCUAGCUUGCCUGCUCAAGUGGACAAGAGCACUUUCACCAAAGGCCCACAUUGGCCUGAAAUAUCUUAUUUUGCCCAAGGCGUACUCAUGCCUGCACUCUCUUGUGGCCAUCAUUAGCACUUCUUCUCUUGAUUUUGUGAGCCUGCUAUAUCCCAACUCUUUAGGAUUACAUACAAACUUAUUUCUGCUACAUGUAUUCUGAGACAUUCCUCCAUGGAAGAAAGGGGUGUUGAUCUUUUCUUGUCUGACAAAAGUCUUCAAAGCCCAAAGACAACUGCUGGAAUGAAAUGCAACCUAUAGGACUGAUGGAAGAAUUGCUACCUGGACUUUCAAAUGGCAUGAAAAUAUAUGGACAUUCUAAAUACUGAAAAAGAAUAGGAAGCUGAUCAAGCAAUACUGGAUCUUCCUCUGCUCCACGAGAAUUCCCAGUGAUGUCCACGGUGCAAUAACAACUUUUUCCCAUGAAGUCUGGUAUAUUACCUUUUUGAUGACUGACACAACAGUCCUACUUCUGUAGGUGUCCUUUCACAUGCAGAGGAAUGUGUAGAUGGACAUAUAUUUGAAUAAGAUACUGAACCUAAGACUACUGCAUUAGAGCCUCGUACAAGAAUUCUAAGACUGUUGACUGCCUACCAUGGAUAUUCAGGGAGAUUAGAUCACUGUGACUACCUAUGCAGUCUUUCUCUACCUUUAAAGAUCCAAGGAACUAUUCUCACUCCAGUGACCUGUUGAAACUUUCUCCAGUGCCCAUGUGUUGAAGACUCUUCCCCAUCUUUUCUUCUAUUAAAGUAGUGCCCACCUCGACCAGCAAGGAAGACACAUCACCGUUGGAUUCUUCUCAACAGCCUUUAUUUCAGGAAAACCUCAUUCUUGAUGAGGGGGGCCCCGAGGGAAAAAAGGCACUCCCCCUAAAUACAAGAAAGGCUGUGGUUGUAAA
This is a non-coding RNA of Rattus norvegicus (Norway rat), 2258 nucleotides long. Lineage: Eukaryota; Metazoa; Chordata; Mammalia; Rodentia; Muridae. The record is from RefSeq and is a predicted model, not a curated record.